Molecule: ribosomal RNA, 253 nt
Filed under: uncultured bacterium
Lineage: Bacteria
Description: partial 16S ribosomal RNA
Rfam family: Bacterial small subunit ribosomal RNA
Source: RNAcentral
CACGGGGGGAGCAAGCGUUGUUCGGAAUCACUGGGCGUAAAGGGCGUGUAGGCGGUUGGGUAAGUGGAAUGUGAAAUGCCCCGGCUCACCCGGGGACCGGCAUUCCAAACUGCUCAGCUCGAGUAUGGGAGAGGAUGAGGGAAUUCCUGGUGUAGCGGUGAAAUGCGUAGAUAUCAGGAGGAACACCGGUGGCGAAAGCGCUCAUCUGGCCCAAUACGUGACGCUGAGGCGCGAAAGCUAGGGAGCAAACGGG